This 490-nucleotide ribosomal RNA is filed under the name uncultured bacterium. RNAcentral describes it as "partial 16S ribosomal RNA". It matches the Rfam family "Bacterial small subunit ribosomal RNA", at positions 30 to 507 of the family's 1533-position model. The record is from RNAcentral.
AUUGAACGCUGGCGGCAGGCCUAACACAUGCAAGUCGAACGGUAACAGGAAGAAGCUUGCUUCUUUGCUGACGAGUGGCGGACGGGUGAGUAAUGUCUGGGAAACUGCCUGAUGGAGGGGGAUAACUACUGGAAACGGUAGCUAAUACCGCAUAACGUCGCAAGACCAAAAAGGGGGACCUUCGGGCCUCUUGCCAGCGGAUGUGCCCAGAUGGGAUUAGCUAGUAGGUGGGGUAACGGCUCACCUAGGCGACGAUCCCUAGCUGGUCUGAGAGGAUGACCAGCCACACUGGAACUGAGACACGGUCCAGACUCCUACGGGAGGCAGCAGUGGGGAAUAUUGCACAAAGGGCGCAAGCCUGAUGCAGCCAUGCCGCGUGUAUGAAGAAGGCCUUCGGGUUGUAAAGUACUUUCAGCGGGGAGGAAGGGAGUAAAGUUAAUACCUUUGCUCAUUGACGUUACCCGCAGAAGAAGCACCGGCUAACUCCGUG